UCUAGAGGGAAAAAGGUAAUACUUCUCAGGGAAACCUUUAUUUAUUGGCGGCCUUAUUCCUUUUUAGAGGAACUCGUCUCAUAAUCGAUACUCCUCGUUAAUUUUUACUUUUUUCUUUCUCUUAUACCGCCGUCUUCAGACUAAAUUUCCUUCUUCAAAAAAAAAGAAUUUUAUUAAGUCAGGUAAAGGUGAGGAAAUAUAAAAAAGAGAAGAUAAGUUACCCAUAAAAAUUAUUCAUGGAUAUUCUUUUAACUACUAAUUGAAAAAGGAUUUAAUAGUAAUUUUUCAAUAAUAUUUUAUAAUGAAUAAGAAAAUUAGGUGC
RNAcentral lists this ribosomal RNA (322 nucleotides) under Conothele sp. MYG298. Its description in RNAcentral is "partial 12S ribosomal RNA". Lineage: Eukaryota; Metazoa; Arthropoda; Arachnida; Araneae; Ctenizidae. The record is from RNAcentral.